This is a long non-coding RNA of Gossypium arboreum, 372 nucleotides long. RefSeq lists it as uncharacterized. The transcript is spliced from 2 exons. The record is from RefSeq and is a predicted model, not a curated record. Lineage: Eukaryota; Viridiplantae; Streptophyta; Magnoliopsida; Malvales; Malvaceae.
UAUCACUACUACAGGGAGCAGAAACAAGUUACCCACCAGCUAGCGGUGCCGGGGUUUCGUUGGCAAACGGACCGUUUCUAGGUCGAAGAGGUUCCUUUCCAAGUUGAGCGCAUGGUGGCUGAAGAGGUUUCAACCAUUUUGAUAUCAAAUAAAAUAUAAUCCAUCGGCUGCUUUUGGGGCAACCAUUAGGGUUUCUUCGUAUUUGGGCUUUUCUUUUGUUGUUUUUGGGCUGCUUUAUGGGUCAUGUUGCACUUCGAUGCCUUAUGUUUUGGACUUGGGCUUUGCCCAUGUGUUUCCGGUAUCUUUUACUGUUUUUGAAUGGAAGUCACGUUCAAAAAAUAGAACAAUUCAAAUUCAAAAAUAAAACAUAAA